CAGCCGCCUCUCAGGCAGCUGACUGAAAUUAGUAACAACCAGUGUGCAGCAGUUCAUGGCAGAAACAUCACACUCAGCUGGAACACUGAGAACUAGAGAACAGCGUGUGGGACUAAAUUCUCCCACAAUCCAUAAUUUAUCCACUUCAUGAAGGCAAGUCCCCUGAAUGCUGAAACCUUCAGACUAUUCACAGACCACAUGAAAACAGAAACUGAAGACUACCUGA
Molecule: non-coding RNA, 226 nt
Organism: Lonchura striata (white-rumped munia)
Lineage: Eukaryota; Metazoa; Chordata; Aves; Passeriformes; Estrildidae
Source: RefSeq, a predicted model, not a curated record